This 497-nucleotide ribosomal RNA is filed under the name uncultured bacterium. Its description in RNAcentral is "partial 16S ribosomal RNA". It matches the Rfam family "Bacterial small subunit ribosomal RNA", at positions 28 to 507 of the family's 1533-position model. The record is from RNAcentral.
GAUGAACGCUGGCGGCGUGCCUAAUACAUGCAAGUCGAGCGAACAGACGAGGAGCUUGCUCCUCUGACGUUAGCGGCGGACGGGUGAGUAACACGUGGAUAACCUACCUAUAAGACUGGGAUAACUUCGGGAAACCGGAGCUAAUACCGGAUAAUAUAUUGAACCGCAUGGUUCAAUAGUGAAAGACGGUUUUGCUGUCACUUAUAGAUGGAUCCGCGCCGCAUUAGCUAGUUGGUAAGGUAACGGCUUACCAAGGCGACGAUCCGUAGCCGACCUGAGAGGGUGGAGGCCCACAGUGAAACUGAAGCCGAGCCGGCGCACCGAGGGAGGGAGCAGAGAGAAGAGUCUCAGCAAGGGAACGAGGCGUGCGGGAGCACCACGGGGUGAGAAUGAAUGUUUUUAGGACAUAAAAAUUUUUUUAUGAGGAAAAAAAAAAUGGUAAAUAACAUAGCCUCUUCUGGGGGUAACGUAAUAGAAAGCCCCCGGCAAGCUCGGUA